Small nucleolar RNA from Trichechus manatus latirostris (Florida manatee), 133 nucleotides. RefSeq annotates it as small nucleolar RNA SNORA42/SNORA80 family. NCBI's taxonomy places the organism in Eukaryota, Metazoa, Chordata, Mammalia, Sirenia, Trichechidae. The record is from RefSeq and is a predicted model, not a curated record. The transcript has a single exon.
GCGUGGCUUUGGGUUUAGGGCAGGCCGUCCCUAUGGGCCUCUCAGAGUGCCCCAUGCCAGAGCAAACUGAGCCCCGAACCAUUGCCUGCCUCCUUGCCCAUAGGCUGCAGACACUGAAGUAGGUUGCACAGUG